GACGAACGCUGGCGGCGUGCCUAAUACAUGCAAGUAGAACGCACAGUAUAUACCGUAGCUUGCUACACCAUAGACUGUGAGUUGCGAACGGGUGAGUAACGCGUAGGUAACCUGCCUGGUAGCGGGGGAUAACUAUUGGAAACGAUAGCUAAUACCGCAUAAUAUUAAUUAUUGCAUGAUAAUUGAUUGAAAGAUGCAACUGCAUCACUACCAGAUGGACCUGCGUUGUAUUAGCUAGUAGGUGAGGUAACGGCUCACCUAGGCGACGAUACAUAGCCGACCUGAGAGGGUGAUCGGCCACACUGGGACUGAGACACGGCCCAGACUCCUACGGGAGGCAGCAGUAGGGAAUCUUCGGCAAUGGACGAAAGUCUGACCGAGCAACGCCGCGUGAGUGAAGAAGGUUUUCGGAUCGUAAAGCUCUGUUGUAAGAGAAGAACGGGUGUGAGAGUGGAAAGUUCACACUGUGACGGUAUCUUACCAGAAAGGGACGGCUAACUACGUGCCAGCAGCCGCGGUAAUACGUAGGUCCCGAGCGUUGUCCGGAUUUAUUGGGCGUAAAGCGAGCGCAGGCGGUUAGAUAAGUCUGAAGUUAAAGGCUGUGGCUUAACCAUAGUACGCUUUGGAAACUGUUUAACUUGAGUGCAGAAGGGGAGAGUGGAAUUCCAUGUGUAGCGGUGAAAUGCGUAGAUAUAUGGAGGAACACCCGGUUGCCGAAAGCG
This 722-nucleotide ribosomal RNA is filed under the name uncultured Streptococcus sp. RNAcentral describes it as "bacterial SSU rRNA". It matches the Rfam family "Bacterial small subunit ribosomal RNA", at positions 28 to 723 of the family's 1533-position model. Lineage: Bacteria; Bacillati; Bacillota; Bacilli; Lactobacillales; Streptococcaceae. The record is from RNAcentral.